RNAcentral lists this ribosomal RNA (440 nucleotides) under uncultured bacterium. RNAcentral describes it as "partial 16S ribosomal RNA". It matches the Rfam family "Bacterial small subunit ribosomal RNA", at positions 338 to 795 of the family's 1533-position model. The record is from RNAcentral.
CCUACGUGAGGCAGCAGUGGGGAAUAUUGCACAAUGGGGGGAACCCUGAUGCAGCAACGCCGCGUGGGUGAAGAAGUACUCCGGUAUGUAAAGCCCUGUCAGCAGGGAAGAAAAUGACGGUACCUGACCAAGAAGCCCCGGCUAACUACGUGCCAGCAGCCGCGGUAAUACGUAGGGGGCAAGCGUUAUCCGGAUUUACUGGGUGUAACGGGAGCGUAGACGGCAAGGCAAGUCUGGAGUGAAAGCCCGUGGCCCAACCACGGGACUGCUUUGGAAACGGUGUUGCUGGAGUGCAGGAGGGGUAAGCGGAAUUCCUAGUGUAGCGGUGAAAUGCGUAGAUAUCGCGCAGAACCCCGAUUGCGAAGGCAGCGUACCGGCUCCACACUGACGCUGAGGCACGAAAGCGUGGGUAUCGAACAGGAUUAGAUACCCCUGUAGUC